AUUGAACGCUGGCGGCAGGCCUAACACAUGCAAGUCGAGCGAGCGGCGGACGGGUGAGUAAUGCCUGGGGAACUGCCCGAUGGAGGGGGAUAACUACUGGAAACGGUAGCUAAUACCGCAUACUAUCAGAUGUGCCCAUAUGGGAUUAGCUAGUAGGUGAGGUAACGGCUCACCUAGGCGACGAUCCCUAGCUGGUCUGAGAGGAUGACCAGCCACACUGGAACUGAGACACGGCCCAGACUCCUACGGGAGGCAGCAGUGGGGAAUAUUGCACAAUGGGCGCAAGCCUGAUGCAGCCAUGCCGCGUGUGUGAAGAAGGCCUUCGGGUUGUAAAGCACUUUCAGUCGGGAGGCGUUACCGACAGAAGAAGCACCGGCUAACUCCGUGCCAGCAGCCGCGGUAAUAC
This 406-nucleotide ribosomal RNA is filed under the name uncultured bacterium. Its description in RNAcentral is "partial 16S ribosomal RNA". It matches the Rfam family "Bacterial small subunit ribosomal RNA", at positions 30 to 526 of the family's 1533-position model. The record is from RNAcentral.